Odocoileus virginianus texanus is the source of this 541-nucleotide non-coding RNA. The record is from RefSeq and is a predicted model, not a curated record. Lineage: Eukaryota; Metazoa; Chordata; Mammalia; Artiodactyla; Cervidae.
GAAAAAGCUGCUGAGGCGCCAUUCCUGGGGCUACACAUUUUGUCCAUCCCUUUGUUCCAGUGACACUUACUACAAGACCACCAGGUCAAGCACCGCACCCUCUGAUUUUUUGGAGGUACCAAGAAGAGUCCUUGACUGGGGCCCUGCCUUCCAUCCUUUGUCAUUGCCAACACGAAGCUGGGGGGAGCAACCUCCAGCCAGCCUCCAUCUCUUCCCUUUCCUGCCAAACCCAAGAGCCCUCCAACCACACCCCAUUCCUCUCCUUCCCUGUCUGCCUCGCCCCUCUCACCUCGACUACAACAGCCUCUGAGAGACACACGGUGGUGACAAGCAAGGACUCAAGCCAGGCUGCCUGGGGUCAAGCCUAGCCCUGCCACUGUGGGACCCCGGGCUGCCCCAGUUUCCUCUGUGAAAGGAGAUAAUCAUAGACUCUACCUCAGAGAGCUGUUACGGGAUAAAUGAAUUCAUAUUUCUCAGGUGUAUGUAACAGUAUCUCUGGCACAUGUAAGCGUUUAACAUAAAAAUACACUUAUUACUCUCA